GGGGAUGCAAGGCAUAGACAGUCGGCCUUUUGUCAUUGAUGCAUGCCGAGUAUGAACGCAAUCUCGCAAAACUUCGUUCAAAUAGUUAAUUGCAAAAUUAGCUUCCAAAGUUAAAGCAAUUGUUUCUCCGUAUGCAAAUAUGGGAGACUUCGCUUUCGCUCACGUUUCCGCUUCGGCGUAAGCGUGUGUCUUAUCCAUAGACUUCCGAUAUAUGGGCUAAGGCAUAACAUUAUCGGGAUAAGGGAAUGUCCGCUCGAACAUUUCACGAAAAUCUAGAGCUCGAUUAAAAAAUAUUUGGCUCGUUUCUUAAUUUUUUAAUCUAAAACAAAAAGCGCGCUAUGCAUGUAGAUUUCUUAGCAAAAACCUUCUGCACGGGGAUUCGAUUUCCCCCAUCUCCACAA
RNAcentral lists this transfer-messenger RNA (401 nucleotides) under Minisyncoccia. Its description in RNAcentral is "UBA9973 sp001000035 Standard tmRNA". It matches the Rfam family "transfer-messenger RNA". Rfam says of the family: Bacterial tmRNA, also known as 10Sa RNA or SsrA, is named for its dual tRNA and mRNA-like properties. Lineage: Bacteria; Bacillati; Minisyncoccota. The record is from RNAcentral.